GACGAACGCUGGCGGCGUGCUUAACACAUGCAAGUCGAGCGAUGAAGUUCCUUCGGGAACGGAUUAGCGGCGGACGAGUGAGUAACACGUGGGUAACCUGCCUCACAGAGGGGAAUAGCCUUUCGAAAGGAAGAUUAAUACCGCAUAAGAUUGUAGUAUCGCAUGAUACAGCAAUUAAAGGAGUAAUCCGCUAUGAGAUGGACCCGCGUCGCAUUAGCUAGCUGGUGAGGUAACGGCUCACCAAGGCGACGAUGCGUAGCCGACCUGAGAGGGUGAUCGGCCACAUUGGGACUGAGACACGGCCCAGACUCCUACGGGAGGCAGCAGUGGGGAAUAUUGCACAAUGGGGGAAACCCUGAUGCAGCAACGCCGCGUGAGUGAUGACGGUCUUCGGAUUGUAAAACUCUGUCUUCAGGGACGAUAAUGACGGUACCUGAGGAGGAAGCCACGGCUAACUACGUGCCAGCCGCCGCGGUAA
Molecule: ribosomal RNA, 478 nt
Filed under: uncultured bacterium
Lineage: Bacteria
Description: partial 16S ribosomal RNA
Rfam family: Bacterial small subunit ribosomal RNA
Source: RNAcentral